AGCCGGCUAACAUUCAACGUGAGGGUCGUAAAGUUCGGUAUUCUGCCAGGAAAACUUGCUACUACAAAACUCAAAUCUUAAGGGCGCCAGAUCUAGCGAGGUAAUAAAUCCUCUUGAUCAAGGAGGAUAGGCUCUUCCAAGCAUAGCAUAAUGAAGGUGAAAAAAACUAGGUAUUGUGGCAGAGAGGAAUUUAAUACGUCUGUAUUUCGAUUUAAAAUUAAAUAUGAUUAUUAUGUAACUACAAAUUAUAAUUGUGGUGUGAAGCACGGUAACAAUAAUAAGAAAAAAAACUAAUAGGAUUAAUUCGUCCACACCGCAAAUAAUCAACAGUGUCAACAAUAUCUUACUACGGUAAUUAAUACGGGUUCUGGAUUCGCUAGCUAGCCCCGCACCCUGUUUAUAUUUGGGCCAAAUAGAGGUUCGUACAAAUAGACCUCCCAAACUGAGAACAAAACGAAUUUUCCUUCACAGUUUACAUAGCCCUUGAAGAGGGUUCAUCAACUCAAAGCCACAAAAAUUAACAAACGCAGAUGCAGCAAGGUAAGGUACCAGUAAGUGCCAGAUUUUAGGCAGCGGAACAAAAAAAGCUGAAAGUUAUGAGAUACUCUAUAUCUAGCUUAAGAGAUACCUAAUUCUUACCUAGAUGUUAUAGCUUGCAACUCGUCCGCAAUGUUCUAAACUACAAAUUACAAAGUUUUAAUACUACA
Photinus pyralis (common eastern firefly) is the source of this 707-nucleotide long non-coding RNA. RefSeq lists it as uncharacterized. The transcript has 3 exons. The record is from RefSeq and is a predicted model, not a curated record. NCBI's taxonomy places the organism in Eukaryota, Metazoa, Arthropoda, Insecta, Coleoptera, Lampyridae.